Molecule: transfer RNA, 68 nt
Filed under: Salganea quinquedentata
Lineage: Eukaryota; Metazoa; Arthropoda; Insecta; Blattodea; Blaberidae
Description: tRNA-His
Source: RNAcentral
ACUUAUGUAGUUUAAUUUAAAAUAUCGAUUUGUGGUAUCGAAGUUAUGUAUAUAAUAUAUCUUGGGUU